Molecule: long non-coding RNA, 402 nt
Organism: Aethalodelphis obliquidens (Pacific white-sided dolphin)
Lineage: Eukaryota; Metazoa; Chordata; Mammalia; Artiodactyla; Delphinidae
Exons: 3
Source: RefSeq, a predicted model, not a curated record
UACGAGGUAAGAUGCAGAGGUAAGUUGCCCAUCGCUAGUGAAGAUCUGUGCUUCGCUGCACCUCAUACUGCAACCUACUGGCUUCGGAGUUACUAUGAACUGUAAAUCCCAGCAUCCGGCCUCCUACCUAAUAGAUCCAGACGUCGCCGUUAGAGGUCGGGUAGACCUCUAAAGAGUCUUGUUGUCUAACAAAGAAGCCGUUAAGAGAAGGAAAAGAAAAGGAGUCAGGAAUGGCUGUUUCUGAGGAUAUUGAAUUUAGUUCCCUGUGCUCUACAGUAGGACCUUGUAGUUUCUCCAUCCUAUAUAUGCUAGUUUGCAUCUGCUGAUCCCAAACUUGCAAUCCUCCCCCCACCACAAUCCUGCAACCACAAGUCUGUUCUCUGUGAGUCUAUUUCUGUUUCG